GUGUUAAGUGGAAAAGGAUGUGGGAUUUCGAAGACAACUAGGAUGUUGGCUCAGAAGCAGCCACACAUUAAAAGAGUGCGUAAUAGCUCACUAGUCGAGAGGUCCUGCGCCGAAAAUGUCCGGGGCUAAAACACAACACCGAAGCUUAGGAAUUCUAAUGAAUUGGUAGAGGAGCAUUGAAGACGGAACGAAGCCAUACCGAAAGGAAUGGUGGACUGUCUUGAAGAGAGAAUGCCGGAAUGAGUAGCGAGAUUGAAGUGAGAAUCUUCAAGGCCGAAUAUCUAAGGUUUCCAGGGUAAAGCUGAUCUGCCCUGGGUAAGUCGGGGCCUAAGGCAAGGUCGAAAGACGUAGUCGAUGGAUAACAGGUUGAAAUUCCUGUACUGCAUCAAAUCAGAAAUGUGGGGACACAUGAGGGAAGCAUGAGCCGGAAAAGGAAAGUCCGGUACAAGCGCAGCAGAGGACAGAUAGGCAAAACCGUCUGUCAACUCGAGGGCGUGAUGUGGAGCGAACCAAAGUAGCGAAGCAUGUGGAGCUUGUGUCGAGAAAAGCCGCUAUAGUGUUUGAUGUACCCGUACCGUAAACCGACACAGGUGGAUGAGGAGAGAAUCCUAAGGCCGGCGGGAGAAGCAUUGUUAAGGAACUCGGCAAAAUGACCCCGUAACUUCGGGAGAAGGGGUGCUCCAGAGAUGGAGCCGCAGAGAACUGGCCCAAGCAACUGUUUAGCAAAAACACAGGUCUAUGCAAAACCGAAAGGUGAGGUAUAUGGGCUGACGCCUGCCCGGUGCUGGAAGGUUAAGAGGAGAUGUUAAUCGCAAGGUGAAGCAUUGAAUUUAAGCCCCAGUAAACGGCGGCCGUAACUAUAACGGUCCUAAGGUAGCGAAAUUCCUUGUCGGGUAAGUUCCGACCCGCACGAAAGGCGUAAUGAUUUGGGCACUGUCUCGACAAUGCACCCGGUGAAAUUGAAAUACCAGUGAAGAUGCUGGUUACCUGCGCCAGGACGGAAAGACCCCAUGGAGCUUUACUCUAGCUUGAUACUGGGGUUCGGUAUUGCAUGUACAGGAUAGGUGGGAGACUGAGAAGAUGUGUCGCCAGAUGCAUCAGAGUCGAUGUUGGGAUACCACCCCUGCAGUACUGGGCUUCUAACCUGCAGCCGUGACCCGGCUGGGGGACAAUGUCUGGUGGGGAGUUUGACUGGGGCGGUCGCCUCCGAAAGAGUAUCGGAGGCGCUCAAAGGUUCCCUCAGAAUGGUUGGAAACCAUUCGAAGAGCGCAAAGGCAGAAGGGAGCUUGACUGCGACACCGACGGGUGGAGCAGGUACGAAAGUAGGACUUAGUGAUCCGGUGGUAUGAAAGUGGGAUUGCCAUCGCUCAACGGAUAAAAGCUACCCUGGGGAUAACAGGCUUAUCACUCCCAAGAGUUCACAUCGACGGAGUGGUUUGGCACCUCGAUG
Molecule: ribosomal RNA, 1450 nt
Filed under: metagenome
Description: bacterial LSU rRNA
Rfam family: Bacterial large subunit ribosomal RNA
Source: RNAcentral